RNAcentral lists this long non-coding RNA (211 nucleotides) under Mytilus galloprovincialis (Mediterranean mussel). The record is from RNAcentral. Lineage: Eukaryota; Metazoa; Mollusca; Bivalvia; Mytilida; Mytilidae.
GUCUAUUGUUUGUACUUCUGUGUCCCGAUUUUGUCUUUUGUUCAUUUAUUGUCCUACUUUAUGACUAUAGUCUGAGUGUUGAUUUUCAUUUGUAAACGUGUGGUUUUGCAAUGUAACAUGCCCACCCGAUGUCCAGAUAUUGUGCGAGAGAAUAUUUUAAGAAUAGACGAUGCUACAAGACACAGAAAAAAAUGGUCGUUUCUGAAUGGAG